RNAcentral lists this long non-coding RNA (1070 nucleotides) under Cyanistes caeruleus (blue tit). RNAcentral describes it as "lncRNA (ENSCCEG00000003611.1)". Lineage: Eukaryota; Metazoa; Chordata; Aves; Passeriformes; Paridae. The record is from RNAcentral.
GAACCUGAAAUUUUCAGAGUGCUGAGAGACAGAGCUGCAGGUGGCUCCUGUGUGCCCAAACAGGCAUUUUCAACCCAAUACAUUUGUGGAGGCAUCUUAAUGUGUCUGUGUUGAAAAUGAGAUUCCAAAGGUUUGUUUCCUUCCCUGAGGAACACCUGCUGCAUUUCCUUUCUUUUCUUCCAAUUACCAUCAUUUUCAAGAACAGGACAAAAAGCCUGAUGAGUUUUGUUUUAUGGCAGCUGUGCUUAAGGGACCAACAAGCACUGCAGAGAUUCUUUUCAUGUAAGAAUCCUUGGAAAUAGUAGAGUUAGUUAGAAUAGCAAAAUCCCUCUUCCAAAAAGGCUGCCAAGCUGCUGGGAAUCCUCUGAGAAGGAAACACGUAUUUGCUGAUGUAGUUGCCACUAACUAGAGCAGGCAAUGAAAUCAGCUGCCAAGACAAGAUCUGCUGGAUGCUGGCAAAGCUGUGGCUUUGGGGCUUGGGUUUUUUCAUGAUACAGGAAAGUCGUCAUCCAAAUGCUACAGGAAAGUCAUCUCUGCCUCUCUGCCAGGGCAAAAACUGCCACUGCAGAGUGGAGCUGGAACAAUGGGCUCUGGGAGAGCAGUUCCAGAUGGGAAAGAAGCAGGUGGAGCCUUGUGUUUCCUUUUUCUCCAGGCUAAAUUCCACAUAGCCACAGAAGGGAGCCCACAGCUGCGGCAGCCCGAGCAAUUCUCGCCUUUGCUGCGUGACUUCCUGAGCUGCUGCCUGCAGAAAGGCGAGGCGCAGCGCUGGUCUGCCAAGGAGCUGCUGCAGCAUCAAUUUAUAACAUCGGCCAUGCCUGGGUCCAGCCUGGCACCUCUCAUCGUUGCAGUGAAGAAGUGGAAGGAGGAGGCAGGAAUGCAACAAUUAAUUUAGAAACUGUCUUCUCCAUGACCAACUUAGAGUAGGACUGUAGAGUAGGAUUAUAGAGUAGGAUUGUAGAGUAGGAUUAUAGAGUAGGAUUGUAGUGCAGGAUGGUAGUGUAGGUUUGUAGUGUAGGAUUGUAGAGUAGGAUUUUAAAUAAAAUUUCUCAAAUCUCAACUCCUUUGGAACA